RNAcentral lists this unclassified non-coding RNA (377 nucleotides) under uncultured Parachlamydiaceae bacterium. RNAcentral describes it as "contains 16S-23S intergenic spacer region". The record is from RNAcentral. Lineage: Bacteria; Pseudomonadati; Chlamydiota; Chlamydiia; Parachlamydiales; Parachlamydiaceae.
UCCUGGUUAACCCAGGCAGUCUCAUUAGAGUUCCCACCCUAAGUGUUGGCAACUAAUGAUAAGGGUUGCGCUCGUUGCGGGACUUAACCCAACACCUCACGGCACGAGCUGACGACAGCCAUGCAGCACCUGUGCAGAAGCCCCGAAGGGAAAUACCAUCUCUGGUAUCGUCCUCUGCAUGUCAAGCCUGGGUAAGGUUCUUCGCGUUGCAUCGAAUUAAACCACAUGCUCCACUGCUUGUGCGGGUCCCCGUCAAUUCUUUUGAGUUUCACCCUUGCGAGUGUACUCCCCAGGCGGUAUACUUAUCGCGUUAGCUUCGGCACAAUCGGGGUUGAGUCCGAUUACACCAAGUAUACAUCGUUUACGGCAAGGACUAC